UUUUUUUUUCCUUUUUUGUAUAUAUAUUUUUUAUGACUGCACCCAGGGCAUAUGGAAGUUCCUGAGCUGGGUAUUGAAUCCAAGCUGCAGCUUCAACCCAUACUGCAGCUGCAGCAACACUGGGUCUUUUAACCCCCUGGGCCUGGGAUCCUGCUCAAUAGGAGUCUUAAUCCACUGUGCCACAUUGGGAACUCUCCCAUUUCUUUUCCAUCUAAGCAAAAUUUUAGUCACCCUUUACGGUAGUUUAACUCUGGACUUAUAGUAAUUUAAGAGCAUACAUUCUAUAAGAAGUAAUUACAUAAAGUCUUUUUUUGAAUAACUUCUUUGAUAACCCUUAUUAAUGAGUUAAUAUCAUCCUUAAUGAUAAAAGUUUUUUUUCAAAAUAUCUAGAACUCCAGAACUAACUUGCAUUUAGUCAUUUGCUCAAGCUAAGCAAAAAAUACAACUUAAGCUUUUUGGUGUUUAAACAGUCAUUUCUUUCCCUUGACCUAAUUUCUAGCAUCAGCAACAUAACUAACUUUGGAAAAGGAGUGUUUCAUCUGCAAAGUGAAUCUGAAAAAAAAAAGGAAAGUGAAUUUGGGCAUUGCUCCCAAAUAUGUUUCAUGUUGCAAAAGAGUUUGUGAUUAGCCAUUCAUAAGAAAAGUAUGCAAUGUGAGAAUUCUAUGACACCUUGUGUUAAGGAAGCUUCUUUUAAUGGUAAGAAGUAGAAUCACAGGCUUUAAUAUGUAGCCCUAUGAGAUGGGUGGAAGGGGAGGAAGAGAAUAGUUAAAUGACUUUAAAAUGAGAUUGAUUUUUAUCUUUUUCCUUCAAAGAAUAUGAGAGAGAGUUAUAUUAAUUGGUUAGUGUCUAUGUUAUAGACUUUAAAAAUAAAGGAUAAUUCAUCCUGAUUCUGUAAUUACCAGUUAUACAAACAGCAUGUGACAAGUCUGACAAGCAGGCUUUUUCAACAUGGAAUAGAUAUUACUAUAGUAAAUGUGUUAGAUUUAUAAAUCAAGGUUAUGCCAUUUGAUAAAUUAUUCCCUUUAUUAAUAGGCGAUAUUAUUUAAGUUCAUAUGCUACUUUAAAAAAUGUCUAUAUUGUGUGUGUUACUGAUUAGCAAAUAUAUCAUUAAACUUGAUUGACCAGUAAAAAUCAUUUUCCAAGGCAUUCUAUAGCACAAUUGUAUAUGGUCUUCUGGACAAGUGUUAAGAGGGUUCUUAGAAUAGAAAAUUGUAUUAUUGAUUAUAAGAUUAUAAAAUCACAAUAAAAGAGGCUGAUAGAUCACAGGAAGACUAUGAUCUGCUCUAUGACAACACUGUUCUAGACUGAGUGUUGGGUUAAGAAGAAUCCAUCUGAUUUCCAUAACACACUGACUAAGCUAAAGGAAAGGAAUGCAUAAACCCAUUUGUGCCAUACACACAUAUCAAAAAAGAUUGCUAAAAUUUUGCAUCUGGUUCUCAGUGUCUAGGCUAAACAAUGUCCUAUAAAUGACCCCAACUGGUAUCAGCAGGAAACUAUUAUCAUUCUCCCCAUUUUACACUUUAGCCUGGGGUCAGAAAGGUCUAAGCUGCUCAAUAUUCCUAUUACAUUAAUGACACAAUUAUUACAGAGGGAUCAACUUCAUGCUGCUAAUAUAGACAUGCUUUUGGAAGCAAUUUCUGGCUCUGCUGGUUAAGGCAAUCUAUUAGGUCAUCUGUAAUCUUUGCAAAAUCUAGUAGAAAGGCUACAGACUUUGGACUUCUUAAGUAUAAAUUUUGGCCCUACAUUUAUUUGUAGAGUAACCUUGGAAAAUUUUUUAACAUCUCUGAUUCUCAAGUGGGGGAUAAUUGCUUCCAUCUGAUAGGAAUAUGGUUAAGACUCAUGAAACACAGAGAGGGAAAAAAGCUGUAAAAAUGUCUCAUACACAGUAGGCACUAGGUAAGUGGAAAUUAUAUCAUCAGGUACGGUACAUUAUUCAUUACUUUUUAAAGACUCUCAUCUUGAUACAAAAUAGUCAACAUCUAAAUAAUUUUUCUUCUCAAUACAAUGAAUGUUAUCUCAAAAGCACAGAAUAAAAAUACAUGAUGAGUGUUAAUAAAUGUAAAUUGUUCCUAAAAUUAUGAUCCUUAUGGUCAGGCAAGGUAGCUAAAGGUUCCAAGUGAUGGAAGUAAAUGCAAAAGUUACUGGUUCAAAGUCUCCACAGCUUUGGGCUUUGUGGCUUGCUGAAUGCAUGUAUUGCUUACUAUGUUCUUUUUUUUUUUUUCCUGCUGGGAAGGGUUUGACUUCUUUCUCCUUUAUUGUAUUUGUGAGUACAGUUUUGACAAACUGCAUAGACAAUGGAAACUAUAGGAUUCCAGACUGAAAACACUGAGUAAAACAACAAACCAAAUAACAAUCAAAAAAAAAAAAAAAGUUUCGCCUCUUAACUGCCACUACUGUCCACUUUUCCAUAGUCCACACAGCCAGUCUUCUUCUACAUACCUCAUAUAAUAUUUAAGCUAGUGUCUUAAGGCUUGAUUUAAUAAACACACAUUGGAACUCUACUUUGAAGCAACAUUCAUAUAUUUUAUAGAUAAUUACUCUUUAAUUUAUAGACAUUUUAAAAAUAUAUGAGUGAGGCCUACAAUGGAAUUAACAUGUAUUUCUGCUAAGUAAAUAUUUUCAUUUUAUUUUGCAUGCUAAAUAUUUUCUGGGCACUGAAUUACAUCAUAAAUAAUCUUGUUCAAUAUAAAGAAUCUUCUAAGUCUAAAUAGUGAUGAUCCUAAUAAGAACUCAUUUUUUCUCAAAUCCCUUAUCAUAAUGUAACAAAAUACAAACCCCAUAGCUGUAGGGAUUCUACAUAGAACUUUAAAUAUUAAGUAGUACUACUGUGUUUUUAGAAAAUAGCUAUUGAAUGAUUCCUAAAAGUCUUUAGAUCACAGUAAAAUUAGAAAGAAAAUUAUGACUCAUUUUUACAAACUCUCUGGAUCACAAAUUAGUUUGGUAGCAAAAUUACUAUAAAAAGUCAUACACAGCAUGGAUCAUGGGCAAAUUCCUAAAUUUUUAGAAUUUAGGAAAAAGCUAUUAUAAAGCAAUAUUCUUCAGGGCUGUUUCCUCCAUCGCUUAGUCUAAAUUUAAGACAUUGAAUUUUAAAGAGUAAACUAUGUUUAAAGAAAUUUGGUCUCUACCCAUUUCUCAUCUUUUAAAUGAGUCUUCGGUUCUUUAGAGCAAACCCUGUCUAGAUUUUGCUGAUCAGAUAAUGCUUUUCUUAAUUUGUGGUAGACCUAUUAUUCAUCAACUUUGCUACUCAUGCAUGGUAAGUAUUCAAUAGUUAUGAUAUCAUGUUUCUCUUGAUUUCUUUUGAAUAUCCCAUCUAAACUUCCAGUCAAUUUUUCUGAGCUAUCUUUCUAAUACAUCCCUUCUCUACUUUAGUUAACUGGGAUAAUUUUCAGUUUUUGCAGCCAAGAACUCUGACUGACAUAUAUGGUGAUCUGCUAAUGCUACU
Molecule: long non-coding RNA, 3442 nt
Filed under: Sus scrofa (pig)
Lineage: Eukaryota; Metazoa; Chordata; Mammalia; Artiodactyla; Suidae
Description: lncRNA (ENSSSCG00045019172.1)
Source: RNAcentral